Molecule: long non-coding RNA, 801 nt
Filed under: Musa acuminata (dwarf banana)
Lineage: Eukaryota; Viridiplantae; Streptophyta; Magnoliopsida; Zingiberales; Musaceae
Description: long non-coding RNA (MACU_LNC007741)
Source: RNAcentral
AUGGAGGCAGAAACAAAAAUGGUUUUAAUUCACUUACCAUUUUCUAGUCAACAAUAGUAGGAUUUAGGUAGAAGAAUCAUCAUUGAGAUUUAAGAUAUACGCAGAUUAAUUAGAGCUAAAGAGGCCAGAAGGGUAAAAGGAUUCUUUAAUCUACAAAAGCAACUUGUGUUUUCAUUCUGAAAAUUGAAAUAGACGGCUCCCCAAAAAACACAAGUCUUCAGGAACCACGAAAAAGAAAAGAUGGAUGUGUGUUGUUCAUUCUUAUCCUUCUUCUCUUUUCCCUUCUUCCCUCUCUGUGUAUCUGCAACCAUGCACCAUCUCCUUUGUUGCCCGGAUUCUAAGGUGCGAACCAGACAAUACAUCUCUCCCCUCUUUCUUCGUGAACCCUUGAUUUUAUCCUUUUAAAAAUAGGAAGAAUUCUUUCAGAAGAGAUUGUAUAUAACCACAAAGACAUGAGAUUAUCAAGCAGCAAAAUACCAAAAAGAUAACAGAGGCCAAAAUGCUUUUUGCUCCCCAUUGCUUCUCAGUUGCCACGAGGGCCACACAACAGCUUAUCUUGCAACUUCACACCCACACCAUGUCUAUUACCACAUCCAUUAUGAAUACAAACAACUUUUGUGUAUGUCCAUUGUUACUCUCCAUACCAACAUAUUUGAUGUCCUCAUUGAUGUGGCCAGUACCAGGAUUCGAAGCUAUGAGAAUCGAACGCAAGAGGCCAUGAAUUAAGUAGCGAAGGGAAGAUUUAGCAGGCAUGAUAGAUACAUGAAGCGAGAAGCGCAGGUCGGUCGCGGCGCCGGCGAG